GUGCUCUUCUGAUCUGUUUAAUGUGGCCUAUGUUAUUAGCCUGUGUUUCCAACAGAGUCUGAGGCAAAGUCGAGGAGUUCAUGCUCUACCUGAGUACAAUCCCAGGGUAGCAAAAGUGAGGGGGAAAAAUGAAGCAAGGCAGCCAAAACAGGACAGCAAAUACAUAGUGCACAUUAUUCAUUUGUAAAUAUGGACAUGUCACCAGGUUUGUCUCUGGAUAAGCCAUAUGGAAACACUCAUUUCAGAAUAGUCUGUUGCAGAGAAGAAAGGAGAAUAAUGUAUCUGUUUCUUCUUCCUGUCUCUUGUCUGUCAUUGGUCAACAUUUGCCCCCUGUCCUACGGGUUUAUGUUCUUUAGCCCUCUUGGCAGCUGCUGGGAAGCCACAUACUUGAAAAGUAUUAUGUGAACUAUGAAACAUUAAACACCUAUACUUUUAAACUGUUUUUCUUCUUGGACAUUCAGGAGACAGCAAUAUGCAUAUAAGUGUUUAUUGGAUAAAUAUUAAGUAACUAAAUACUAAUCUGUAUGAUAGAUUUUUUCACUUACAGUUAUUUUGUUAAAAAAUGGAACAAAUAAAUGAAAAGUCUCAAUUCUAACCGACUCAAACACAUAUGUAUUAAUACAAAAUUUACAUAUUGAGAAAUGCCAUCUUAACAAAUUAGUUUAAGAAUUCCCAAAUUUUAUAAUUCAAAGCAUUCUUACUGUGUUUACAAAUUUCCAUUAGAGAAUGCAUUUCAUUUCAGUGAGGUUUCAGUAUGUUUAGAGUUUUCCUAAUUUUUAAAAAAAUAAGUGGUAAUUUAGCAUUGUAUUUUAACUACUAUUAUUAUCUUGUAGCAAAUGGUUUUGCAAAACACAGAAUUACCAUAGUGAGUCACAAUCUAAAUUAGCGGUUUAGGUGGAGUAGGGUUUUAUAGCUAUUUUCUGUGUCUCUACACAUAUCUAGACAUUAAACUGAAAAGUUCUUUGUCAUAGUUUUAUAAGCAUGUGUAAGUUAGCAUAUAGGCUUGACUGCUAGUACAGAGAUCCCAAACAUCAGCUGUUUUACGAUAUGCUAGUUCAGGGUGAGGAAGGAAUCCGCACAGUGUUGGGGACCCAGGCUGCUUCUAUCUUUUCACUUUGUUGUCUCGAGGAUAUUGAUCUCAUGCUUAUGGAUGGAAACCACCAUGUUUAUAUCUCAGCAAAUAGCAGAAGAGGGAGGACAUGCUCCUUUAUUUUAAGGUACUGACCUGGAGGUAGCACAUAUCACUUUUUUGUUUGUUUGUUUGUUUGUUUUUUCUUUUUGUCAGAACUCUGUCAUAGUCAUAUGUACAUAUGUACAUAGUCAUAUGUAGUAGCAAAGGAGACUAGGAAAUGUAGGAUGCCAUAUACCCGGCUAAAAUUCCUAGUGGUAUGGAAAAAAGAAAACAUGGAUUUGGGGAGAUAGCUAACAGUUUCUGCCACAUGCACUGUCUCUGCCCACCAUGAAAAAUGUCCAUUUCCUUUCCAACUGUCAUACCUGGAUGAUGUGAAGUCAGUCCUUUCUCUCAAGUUCUGAUACUAUUUCUUGUCGUUGGUGUAUCUGAUCUGAAAGCUAGUUUAUCUGCCAUCUGCUCACUGCCCAAAUGCACAUCCAAUAUACAAUGGUAAAGUCAAGGCAGGGUAAUACAUCCAAAAGAUACUGGUAGAGGAAAAGCAGGAUAAGACACUCUAUUUGGAAAAGGGGAAGAUUGGAAACCCAAUAGUCACUCUGCAACAGUGAAAUCCUGUGUGUAGGAAUCAUGAAGAUUUUUAUCCUGGUAGUUGAAGAAGUUCUUUGUUAGCCCUCCUGGCAAGCUUAUCCCCUGCCCUUGGGGAGGAAAUCACUUAUUCUCCAAGAUUUCUGGCUUUGUCCUUUGGGAGAUUGUUUAUUGUCUGUUAUUGCCCAUGGCCAGAUCUAAAGUGGGCAUUGAAAAGUAUAUCCUUUUCUUAGGGAUGGAUAGCUUUCUAAGCUGGCUUCCUGCUGGUGCAGGAAAAAGAGCCCAAGGGGUUGUCAUUGGAUUGAGUAAUUAUAGGCUUUUACAGUCCAGGUGUUAUGUGUGUGUAAUACAUACCUUCAAAAACGUAUUGGAUUUUAUCCCUAUUUGCGGUGAUUAGUUCCAAGUGAGAGUAACCAUAGUCAAACAUUAAUCAAGACAUAGUUGUGUGCAUUGGUUUGUUAGUUUUUUCCUAGCUAAGAAUGCUGGAUUUUAUUUUAUUUUUGUGUAUUUAUUUAUUUGAGAGAGAGUGAGGGAGCACGCAUGCAUGAGUGGGGGAGGAGC
This is a long non-coding RNA of Herpailurus yagouaroundi (jaguarundi), 2275 nucleotides long. RefSeq lists it as uncharacterized. NCBI's taxonomy places the organism in Eukaryota, Metazoa, Chordata, Mammalia, Carnivora, Felidae. The record is from RefSeq and is a predicted model, not a curated record. The transcript is spliced from 3 exons.